Molecule: ribosomal RNA, 253 nt
Filed under: uncultured bacterium
Lineage: Bacteria
Description: partial 16S ribosomal RNA
Rfam family: Bacterial small subunit ribosomal RNA
Source: RNAcentral
UACGAAGGGGGCUAGCGUUGCUCGGAAUCACUGGGCGUAAAGCGCACGUAGGCGGCUUUUUAAGUCAGGGGCGAAAUCCUGGAGCUCAACUCCAGAACCGCCUUUGAUACUGAGAAGCUUGAGUCCGGGAGAGGUGAGUGGAACUGCGAGUGUAGAGGUGAAAUUCGUAGAUAUUCGCAAGAACACCAGUGGCGAAGGCGGCUCACUGGCCCGGUACUGACGCUGAGGUGCGAAAGCGUGGGGAGCAAACAGG